GAUGUGGCGGCGCGGCGGCGGCGCGGCGGGGCGGAACCGCGGGGGGCGGCGGGGGGGGCGGGGAGCCGAAGUGCCGCAGAUCGUCCUCGUCCAGAGCGAUGUCACCCAGGAAGGCGGCCGCCUUGCACGGAUCCCGGGAGCCCCGCAGCUCUUCCUCCUCCUCCUCCUCGUCCCGCAGCACGGCCGAAUACCCCGCACAGCGGCCGCCCGCAGCAGCAGCAGCGCGAGGAGCAGCGCGCAGCCCCGCACUGCGGCCAUCGUUGGGCUUUGGGCCCUUUUUCCCCCUCUUUUUUUUUUGGGGGGGGGGGGGGGGGGGGGAGGAGGGCGGGGGGGCGCUGUGGGUCCGUUCCGUCCGCGCUUUUUGCCCUUUUUUCCGCUUUUUUUCCCUCCCCUCCCCGCCUCUUUCCUUUCUGCCUCCCUUCUCCGUCUCCCCCCCCACCCUUUGCAGCCUUUUCCUUGCCUUUUUUUUUGCCCCCCCCCCCCCCUUUUUUUGUCGCUGCCCC
RNAcentral lists this long non-coding RNA (503 nucleotides) under Gallus gallus (chicken). The record is from RNAcentral. Lineage: Eukaryota; Metazoa; Chordata; Aves; Galliformes; Phasianidae.